AAUCUGGCGUCUUUGGCGUCCGAGUUGUAAUUUGCAGAGGGCGCUUUGGCAUUGGCAGCGGUCCAAGUUCCUUGGAACAGGACGUCACAGAGGGUGAGAAUCCCGUACGUGGUCGCUAGCCUUUACCGUGUAAAGCCCCUUCGACGAGUCGAGUUGUUUGGGAAUGCAGCUCUAAAUGGGAGGUAAAUUUCUUCUAAAGCUAAAUACUGGCCAGAGACCGAUAGCGCACAAGUAGAGUGAUCGAAAGAUGAAAAGCACUUUGGAAAGAGAGUUAAAAAGCACGUGAAAUUGUUGAAAGGGAAGCGCUUGCAGCCAGACUUGCCUGUAGUUGCUCAUCCGGGUUUUUACCCGGUGCACUCUUCUACGGGCAGGCCAGCAUCAGUUUGGGCGGUUGGAUAAAGGUCUCUGUCAUGUACCUCCUCUCGGGGAGAUCUUAUAGGGGAGACGACAUGCAACCAGCCUGGACUGAGGUCCGCGCAUCUGCUAGGAUGCUGGCGUAAUGGCUGUAAGCGGCCCGUCU
Molecule: ribosomal RNA, 520 nt
Filed under: Epicoccum sp. PQS10
Lineage: Eukaryota; Fungi; Ascomycota; Dothideomycetes; Pleosporales; Didymellaceae
Description: eukaryotic LSU rRNA
Rfam family: Eukaryotic large subunit ribosomal RNA
Source: RNAcentral